UACGUAGGCAGCAAGCGUUGUUCGGAGUUACUGGGCGUAAAGAGUGCGUAGGCGGUGUCGAAAGUUUGGCGUGAAAUCUCCCGGCUUAACUGGGAGGGUGCGCCGAAAACUGCGGUGCUGGAGUGUGGGAAAGGCAAGCGGAAUUCCUGGUGUAGCGGUGAAAUGCGUAGAUAUCAGGAGGAACACCUGUGGUGUAGACGGCUUUCUGGACCAUAGCUGACGCUGAGACACGAAAGCGUGGGUAGCAAACAGG
RNAcentral lists this ribosomal RNA (253 nucleotides) under uncultured bacterium. RNAcentral's name for it is "partial 16S ribosomal RNA". It matches the Rfam family "Bacterial small subunit ribosomal RNA", at positions 524 to 776 of the family's 1533-position model. The record is from RNAcentral.